GAGCUUGCUCUGUGGGAUCAGUGGCGAACGGGUGAGUAACACGUGAGCAACCUGCCCCUGACUCUGGGAUAAGCGCUGGAAACGGCGUCUAAUACUGGAUAUGUGACGUGACCGCAUGGUCUGCGUCUGGAAAGAAUUUCGAUUGGGGAUGGGCUCGCGGCCUAUCAGCUUGUUGGUGAGGUAAUGGCUCACCAAGGCGUCGACGGGUAGCCGGCCUGAGAGGGUGACCGGCCACACUGGGACUGAGACACGGCCCAGACUCCUACGGGAGGCAGCAGUGGGGAAUAUUGCACAAUGGGCGCAAGCCUGAUGCAGCAACGCCGCGUGAGGGACGACGGCCUUCGGGUUGUAAACCUCUUUUAGCAGGGAAGAAGCGAAAGUGACGGUACCUGCAGAAAAAGCGCCGGCUAACUACGUGCCAGCAGCCGCGGUAAUACGUAGGGCGCAAGCGUUAUCCGGAAUUAUUGGGCGUAAAGAGCUCGUAGGCGGUUUGUCGCGUCUGCUGUGAAAUCCGGAGGCUCAACCUCCGGCCUGCAGUGGGUACGGGCAGACUAGAGUGCGGUAGGGGAGAUUGGAAUUCCUGGUGUAGCGGUGGAAUGCGCAGAUAUCAGGAGGAACACCGAUGGCGAAGGCAGAUCUCUGGGCCGUAACUGACGCUGAGGAGCGAAAGGGUGGGGAGCAAACAGGCUUAGAUACCCUGGUAGUCCACCCCGUAAACGUUGGGAACUAGUUGUGGGGUCCAUUCCACGGAUUCCGUGACGCAGCUAACGCAUUAAGUUCCCCGCCUGGGGAGUACGGCCGCAAGGCUAAAACUCAAAGGAAUUGACGGGGACCCGCACAAGCGGCGGAGCAUGCGGAUUA
This 861-nucleotide ribosomal RNA is filed under the name uncultured bacterium. Its description in RNAcentral is "bacterial SSU rRNA". It matches the Rfam family "Bacterial small subunit ribosomal RNA", at positions 76 to 948 of the family's 1533-position model. The record is from RNAcentral.